Molecule: ribosomal RNA, 451 nt
Filed under: uncultured bacterium
Lineage: Bacteria
Description: bacterial SSU rRNA
Rfam family: Bacterial small subunit ribosomal RNA
Source: RNAcentral
CUCUGUGACUCCUACGGGAGGCAGCAGUGGGGAAUAUUGGACAAUGGACCAAAAGUCUGAUCCAGCAAUUCUGUGUGUUUGAUGAAGGCCUUCGGGUUGUAAAGAACUUUCAGUGGGGAAGAAGCAAGUGACGGUACCCACAGAAGAAGCGACGGCUAAAUACGUGCCAGCAGCCGCGGUAAUACGUAUGUCGCAAGCGUUAUCCGGAAUUAUUGGGCAUAAAGGGCGUCUAGGCGGUCUAAUAAGUCUGAUGUGAAAAUGCGGGGCUCAACUCCGUAUUGCGUUGGAAACUGUUAGACUAGAGUUUUGGAGAGGUAGGCGGAACUACAAGUGUAGAGGUGAAAUUCGUAGAGAUUUGUAGGAAUGCCGAUGACGAAGGUAGCUUACUGGACAAAUACUGACGCUGAAGCGCGAAAGCUAGGGGAGCAAACAGGAUUAGAUACCCUGGUAG